ACUUGUGAAGUGCUUUACAUAGAAUAAAUUAUGAUUGUUAUUCUGUUUCUAGAUUGAUGCUGAGCUUAUAAAUGAUAAGGAAAACAAGGAAACUGAAGCAGAUAAGGACUCAACAGAGGGUGAGAAAACAGAAACGGAACAACCAGCU
This is a long non-coding RNA of Orbicella faveolata, 148 nucleotides long. NCBI's taxonomy places the organism in Eukaryota, Metazoa, Cnidaria, Anthozoa, Scleractinia, Merulinidae. The record is from RefSeq and is a predicted model, not a curated record.